ACGCUCGACACCUAGGAGGCAGCAGUGGGGAAUAUUGCACAAUGGGGGAAACCCUGAUGCAGCGACGCCGCGUGAAGGAAGAAGUAUCUCGGUAUGUAAACUUCUAUCAGCAGGGAAGAAAAUGACGGUACCUGACUAAGAAGCCCCGGCUAACUACGUGCCAACAGCCGCGGUAAUCUGAGCGGGCUGGCAAGGC
Molecule: ribosomal RNA, 196 nt
Filed under: uncultured bacterium
Lineage: Bacteria
Description: partial 16S ribosomal RNA
Rfam family: Bacterial small subunit ribosomal RNA
Source: RNAcentral